CCUACGGGAGGCAGCAGUGAGGAAUAUUGGUCAAUGGACGGAAGUCUGAACCAGCCAUGCCGCGUGCAGGAAGACGGCUCUAUGAGUUGUAAACUGCUUUUGUACAAGGGUAAACCUGAAUACGUGUAUUCAGCUGAAAGUACUGUACGAAUAAGGAUCGGCUAAUUCCGUGCCAGCAGCCGCGGUAAUACGGAGGAUCCAAGCGUUAUCCGGAUUUAUUGGGUGUAAAGGGCGUGCAGCCGGAGGGACAAGUCAGAUGUGAAAUCCACGGGCUCAACCAGUGAACUGCAUGUGAAACUGGUUGCAUUGAGUGUGGGGAAGGUAAUCGGAAUUCGUGGUGUAGCGGUGAAAUGCGUAGAUAUAAGGAAGAACACCGGUGGCGAAGGCAGAUUACUGGACGGUAACUGACGGUGAGGCGCGAAGGCGUGGGGAGCGAACAGGAUUAGAUACCCUUGUAGUC
This 460-nucleotide ribosomal RNA is filed under the name uncultured bacterium. RNAcentral describes it as "partial 16S ribosomal RNA". It matches the Rfam family "Bacterial small subunit ribosomal RNA", at positions 338 to 795 of the family's 1533-position model. The record is from RNAcentral.